This is a long non-coding RNA of Rattus rattus (black rat), 1706 nucleotides long. RefSeq lists it as uncharacterized. The record is from RefSeq and is a predicted model, not a curated record. NCBI's taxonomy places the organism in Eukaryota, Metazoa, Chordata, Mammalia, Rodentia, Muridae. The transcript is spliced from 10 exons.
UUCUUUAAAGCAAAUAACCAUUGGUGGUACACUAUAAUAGAUAUAAACUUUUAAUCCAAAGUGUAGGCUUGUGUAUAUAAUCAUAGGACUUGGGAAAACUGACACAGAGAGCUUGCAAAGAGUCAUCAGCAAGCUGCCAUUGCAGCCCAAAGUCAGAAUCUGAAUAGUAUACAGCAAAAUGGAAACCUUCUGGUUAAUAGCCAGACUCUAGGUUCAAGCAGCCAGAUACAUGUUCAACCUCUUGGUACCACAAACUGUUCUGUGUUUGUUGUCCAUUGCAUCCAGAUCACACAUUAAAUUAUAUUUUAUGUACCCUGGUCUUCAUGCAGGCCCCUAACAAUUGGAGAAGGGUCUGUUUCUGACUCUGUUGCCUGCCUUUGGAUCCCUUUCACCAACCUGGGUUGCCUUCUCUGACAUCAGUGGAGUGUCUGAAGAUUUAAUCUUGUAAUCUUCACUCAGUAUGUAGUAUGUGUUCAUUAGCAUCUGUAUUCAUAAGCCACUUCAGGGAGGGUAUACAACUAAUUUGCUACAUGUUUUAUGCAACUCCUACAAAAGAGAAAAUAGUUUGGUGGAUAGCCUAGAAUAAAUAGGUCAUCAAUCACAAAGGUUCCUGAUGCAGGGUCUCUCCAUGCUCCUUAUGGUGAGCUCAGACUCAGGGAAUGAGGUGCUUGUUCUCCACUAAGUUCUGAUAAACUUUCAUUGAAGACACAGUCAAACACCUAGUCAUGGGUUUUCAAGUUUUUUGGGUCUGACUAUGCUGUGCAAUGUUGUUGCAACUCAAGCAUUAAAGCCAUGCUUUCUCUCAGCAUCCUGAGAUUCUCACACUGGAGAUUACAACCAUGAAAUUCUGUUGCCUCAGCCAUUUGUCUUAGCAUUGAACUCAACACUCACCAACUGCUUUGAGACAUUGAGGACAAUGUGAAAUGGAAAAGGCAAGGGUCUGAAGGUUUAAUCUUGUAAUCUUCACUCAGUAUGUAGUAUGUGUUCAUUAGCAUCUGUAUUCAUAAGCCACUUCAGGGAGGGUAUACAACUAAUUUGCUACAUGUUUUAUGCAACUCCUACAAAAGUGAAAAUAGUUUGGUGAAUAGCUUAGAAUAAAUAGGUCAUCAAUCACAAAGGUUCCUGAUGCAGGGUCUCUCCAUGCUCCUUAUGGUGAGCUCAGACUCAGGGAAUGAAGUGCUUUUUCUCCACUAGGUUCUGAUAAACUUUCAUUGAAGACACAGUCAAACACCUAGUCAUGGUAUAGUAAAUCGUGGGCUUCUUUUCUCUUCGCUUUUUAAUUUGUUGAGCAUAUUACCUUUGGUUUCCAAUUAUUAACAGUUUUCACAUAAAAUCCAUUAAAUCUUUUGUUUUCCUCCUAUACAAACAUGUUUCUUAGGCAUAUUUUAAAACCAAAUUUUUGUGUAUGCCUUACUAAUUUUAUAGAAACAACAUGAUGUUAUUUCAAACUAGAUAUGGUUUGUUCUUUCCUUAGAAAUACUCACUUUUCAUUUUCUACCCCAUUUGCUCUAAGGAUAUGCCUAGGAAAUGUUUGUGAAGUGGCAUCCACUGUUUAUUUUUCUUUUUAAUUUGUUGAACGUUAGUGAUCCUUUUCAGAUUGUAUUACUUCCUUCUAUGUAAUUAUGAAAUUUCAGUACAGUACAUGGCCUGAUAUUUUUUUUAGUUCUUGAGUUUCACUUCCUUAAUAAAUAUUUUUUAUACAUUUA